This 287-nucleotide long non-coding RNA is filed under the name Gossypium raimondii (Peruvian cotton). RNAcentral describes it as "long non-coding RNA (GRAI_LNC005796)". The record is from RNAcentral. Lineage: Eukaryota; Viridiplantae; Streptophyta; Magnoliopsida; Malvales; Malvaceae.
AGACAAACAGGAAAGAAGAAUGAGGACUGAGGCGGCAGGCAUGUGAGGUGAAGCAGGAAGUAGGUCUGGGUCACGUGUGUGUGUUUUAGUUUUUGCUUUUUAAUUUUUAUUUUAUUUUAUUUUUUAUUUGGGUUAAAUGCAUUUGCUUAAUAGGUUGAUUGGGUUUUUUUUUUUUUUUAAAUUCAUUGUGACAUUUAGAAGAAGAAGAAGUAAUAUUAACAAUAUCAUACAAGUAUUUUAAAAAAUUGAUGCCCUUCAAUCACUUUUUUAGCUCCUGCAACCAAUGC